ACUGCAUCCGGGGGACGUUUUUCUGCAGAUACUCCACUCCUCGAGAGCAUGCGGGUCCGGAACGACCAGUCGGGCUGCAAAGACUCGCUUCGGCAUGGAUAGCAAGCGCUUAUUAAUGUUUAUGUUGUUGAGUGAUUAUAAUGAUAGGUGACGUAAGUCUGCUGGAAGAAUUCCUCCAAAUUUUCUCUCCUUACGGUGCCUCGUGGAGCGGUGACUAGGCCUCAUCGGCAUGGAAAUGUGGGCCGGUUGUGAACGUGGAUCCGUGGCGUGUUCCUGAGGGGAUCGGACACGUGGACGCAGAGCGAUGGCGUGCUCUCACGUGGCUUCAUGGCGGAAAGUGGCUGAAUCCCUGCAUACAGCAACAUGCAGCAGCUAUCUGAGAAAUGGACAAGCCAGCAUAUAUUACAUGAGGACGCCUAGAAGCGGAUUUUGGCCUAUCCUGUGUCUACUUCAUAUAUGUUGUACCCAUGGGAGCACAACUUUUUGAAUUAAAAACCAUUGUCAACAA
Molecule: long non-coding RNA, 508 nt
Organism: Pungitius pungitius (ninespine stickleback)
Lineage: Eukaryota; Metazoa; Chordata; Actinopteri; Perciformes; Gasterosteidae
Exons: 4
Source: RefSeq, a predicted model, not a curated record